Molecule: ribosomal RNA, 157 nt
Filed under: Chlamydomonas schloesseri
Lineage: Eukaryota; Viridiplantae; Chlorophyta; Chlorophyceae; Chlamydomonadales; Chlamydomonadaceae
Description: large subunit ribosomal RNA
Source: RNAcentral
AAGGGAUUGCUGACUGAUAGUGCACACAGUACUGUGAAGGAACUAAUGAAACUGGGCUACAACACUAAAAACACAAAGUGCGCAUUCCACCAUACGUGAGCAUUAGCGCAUUACCAUUCUCCAGAGGAUUUAAAUGCACAAACCUAUUAGUGCCUUU